Molecule: unclassified non-coding RNA, 5001 nt
Filed under: Hevea brasiliensis (rubber tree)
Lineage: Eukaryota; Viridiplantae; Streptophyta; Magnoliopsida; Malpighiales; Euphorbiaceae
Source: RNAcentral
AAACACGAGACUGAUAUGCAAGUUGGAGCUGUAAUCUCUCUGCCCAAUUCCAGCCUCAAUCUCUCUGCCUUUGUCUUUUCUCUUCAUUGGCUAGCUUACGCAUACAAGCAAAAACCACUGCUCUGCCUCUAAUCAUAAUUCUCUCUAUCUCCAUUAGCUGAUUCUGGAGAAGGAGCAAAUCGGCUAAUGGCUGGGAACGAUUGGAUUAACAGCUACCUCGAGGCAAUCCUCGAUGUCGGCCCUGGCCUUGAUGAUGCUAAGUCGUCUUUGCUACUCAGAGAGAGAGGAAGAUUCAGUCCCACUCGAUAUUUCGUCGAAGAAGUCAUCACUGGAUUCGAUGAGACCGAUCUCCACCGCUCCUGGGUUAAGGCUCAGGCGACGAGGAGUCCGCAGGAGAGGAACACCAGAUUGGAGAAUAUGUGCUGGAGGAUUUGGAACUUAGCUCGCCAAAAGAAGCAGCUUGAGGGAGAGCUUGCCCAAAGGAAUGCUAAACGUCAUCUUGAACGUGAAAGAGGCCGCAGAGAGGCAACUGCUGAUAUGUCUGAAGAUCUAUCGGAAGGAGAAAAAGGAGAUGCAGUAGGUGACGUAUCGUCUCAUGGUGAUAGUAACAGAGGCAGACUGCCUAGAAUCAAUUCUGUUGAUGCAAUGGAGGCAUGGGCUAGUCAGCAAAAGGGCAAAAAGCUGUACAUUGUGUUAAUAAGCCUUCAUGGUCUAAUACGAGGUGAAAAUAUGGAGCUUGGACGUGAUUCCGAUACUGGUGGUCAGGUUAAAUAUGUUGUGGAACUUGCAAGGGCUUUGGGCUCAAUGCCAGGAGUCUAUCGAGUGGAUUUGUUAACUAGACAAUUAUCAGCACCAGAUGUAGAUUGGAGUUAUGGUGAGCCCACAGAGAUGCUUACCCUUAGAAACUCAGAAGAUUCUGAGGAUGAGAUGGGGGAGAGCAGUGGUGCCUAUAUUGUUCGUAUACCCUUUGGAACAAAGGAUAAAUACAUCCCUAAAGAAAAUUUGUGGCCUUACAUCCCUGAAUUUGUUGACGGUGCUCUUAACCACAUAAUUCAGAUGUCCAAAGUUCUGGGAGAGCAAAUUGGUGGUGGGAAGCCAAUCUGGCCUGUUGCCAUCCACGGACAUUAUGCUGAUGCAGGCGAUUCUGCUGCUCUUCUAUCAGGUUCUUUAAAUGUGCCAAUGCUUUUCACUGGUCACUCACUUGGCCGGGAUAAGUUAGAACAGCUACUAAAACAAGGCCGAUUAUCGAGGGAUGAAAUAAAUUCUACAUACAAAAUAAUGCGUCGGAUAGAGGCUGAGGAAUUUUCGCUGGAUUCUUCUGAAAUAGUCAUAACUAGCACUAGACAGGAGAUUGAUGAGCAGUGGCGCUUAUAUGAUGGUUUUGAUCCAAUACUGGAGCGUAAACUGCGAGCAAGAAUCAAGCGUAAUGUGAGCUGUUAUGGCAGGUUCAUGCCUCGCAUGGCUAUAAUUCCUCCUGGGAUGGAGUUUCAUCACAUUGUUCCCCAAGAAGGGGAUAUGGACGGUGAAGUGGAAGGAAAUGAGGACCAUCCUACUUCUCCUGAUCCACCAAUAUGGUCUGAGAUAAUGCGCUUCUUUACGAAUCCUCGUAAGCCUAUGAUACUUGCCCUUGCUAGGCCAGAUCCCAAAAAGAACAUCACAACUUUGGUUAAAGCAUUUGGAGAAUGUCGUCCAUUAAGAGAGCUUGCUAACCUUACGCUAAUUAUGGGUAACCGAGAUGGAAUUGAUGAAAUGUCAAGCACAAAUGCUUCUGUUCUUCUUUCAGUGCUUAAGCUUAUUGACAAGUAUGAUCUGUAUGGGCAAGUUGCAUACCCUAAACACCACAAGCAGGCUGGUGUCCCUGACAUAUAUCGUCUAGCAGCAAAGACAAAGGGUGUUUUCAUCAAUCCAGCCUUCAUUGAGCCAUUCGGGCUUACUUUGAUUGAGGUGCUCUUGUUAACACUAUGUGGAGUCUAUUUUUAUGUUUAUUUAAUAGGCUCAUGCUAUUUCCACAGUUUAAUUUACUAGAGUCAUUGCUUAUUAAUUGCUUAAGUGUGGCCCACCGCACAAAAGAUCUCACACUUGUGGGCUUUGGGGAGAGAAUUUACAUAACCUUACCCCUAAAUUGUAUAUAGGCCGUUUCUGUGGCUUGAACUCAUGACCUCUAGUUUACAAAUGGAAUAAAUUUACUGUAACACUAAAGCCAUCCUCUACCUUAUUAAUUGCUUAAAUGUUGAAAAAAAAAAUACCGAUUAAUUUGAAUAGAACGGUAAUAUAACCAGUUUGUCAAGAAGAAUGAAUCAGAUCCAUCUCUUUACUUUUAUCCUUCCUUUACUUUUCUCUUUUUUUCUAAAGAUUAUAUGGAAACACUUUUUUUUCUUCCCUCUCCUAAUUUUUCCUCUCUUCUUGUUUCAACCAAAAGAAACAAUUGCAGGGCUCUGUUACCACAAAUUUAUGCACUAUGCUAUUAUAAGUAAAAGUAAUUUCUCCUAUCUGUUCUUCAGAGAUUCAAGAUGAUUUCUAUGGAUGGUUUUUCCAGUUUCCUUGCCUCAACAAAAUAAUGACUUAGGGAAAGUCAUUAGAUGAGCAUCAAAUCUGAUGUUUUGCCAACAAUGCUAUUUUGGUUUAUUUGUUUAUUUACAGAAUAAAUAAGCUAUGGCUCUAGUCACAAUACCUGUGGAAAUAGCCUGAGCCUGUUUAAUAUUCAUGACCUGAGGUAAACUGUUACUCUUCUGUUGAGCAGGCAGCAGCUCAUGGUUUGCCCAUUGUUGCCACAAAAAAUGGAGGCCCAGUGGACAUACACCGGGUACUGGACAAUGGUCUUCUUGUUGAUCCUCAUGAUCAGCAGUCUAUUGCUGAUGCUCUUCUAAAGCUUGUUGCUGACAAGCAGCUUUGGGCAAAAUGCCGACAAAAUGGAUUGAAGAAUAUUCACCUAUUCUCAUGGCCAGAGCAUUGCAAGACUUACCUAUCACGAAUAGCCAGCUGCAAACCAAGGCAUCCACAGUGGCAAAAAGAUAAUGAUGGAGCUGAUACUUCAGAUACAGAUUCACCAGGUGAUUCGUUAAGGGACAUACAUGAUAUAUCUUUGAACUUGAAGUUCUCAUUGGAUGGAGAAAAGACUGGAGCUAGUGGAAAUGAUAAUUCUCUAGAAUCUGAAGGAGAUGCUGAUAGAAAGGGUAAGUUAGAGAAUGCUGUUUUGGCAUGGUCAAAGGGUGUUUUGAAGAACACACAAAAGACUGGAUACAUAGAAAGAGGAGAACAAUACAAUAGUUCUGGUAAGUUUCCAGCUUUGAGAAGGAGGAAACAAAUUUUUGUCAUUGCAGUGGAUUUCGAUGCCAUUUCUGGGCUUAUAGAGGCAACUAGAAAAAUUUUCGAGGCUGUUGAAAAAGAAAGGACUGAAGGCUCAAUAGGGUUCAUAUUGUCAACGUCUUUGACCAUAUCUGAGAUACACUCAUUUCUGGUCACAGGGGGAUUUAGUCCCAGUGAUUUUGAUGCUUUUAUAUGCAACAGUGGUAGUGACCUAUUUUACUCAAAUCUUAAUUCAGAGGAUGGUCCCUUUGUGGUUGACUUUUAUUACCACUCACAUAUUGAGUACCGAUGGGGUGGAGAAGGGCUAAGAAAGACUUUGGUUCGCUGGGCUACUACAGUUAAUGAUAAAAAGGCUGAGAAAGGGGAACAGAUUGUUACAGCAGCCGAACAGCUUUCAACCAACUAUUGUUAUUCUUUUACCGUGCAAAAGCCAGGAGUGGUAAUUUUCUUUUCCUUCCUACUUGCAAGUGACUUCCUGAUUGUUGUUCUCAAACUGAGGGUGAAUUUAUUUUCCAGACUUCAUUUUUUGUUGCCUGAUCAUUUUUCACAUACACAUACAGUGUGUAAUGCAAUAGAUAUCAGGGAAAUUCAUCUGUUUGUCUUUUGAAGGUUCCCCCUGUUAAAGAGCUCCAGAAGUUGCUGAGGAUUCAGGCUCUCCGAUCCCACGUUAUAUAUUGCCAAAAUGGGACCAGGAUAAAUAUAAUUCCAGUAUUGGCUUCUCGCUCCCAAGCCCUAAGGUAGAGUUUUCUAUGUGGACCAAUAUACAUGAUAUUGACUUUCAUUUCAUGCGACUUCAACUUAUAAGCAGAACUGGGUAUAUAUUGAGAAGACCAGCUGUUGAGUACAAAGUUGUCGCUAAAUUUGAAAGGCCCCAUGGAGAAUAGUUUGAUGCAUGAUUGAACUUUUAGCACAAUUGCCCCCCCUAAUUGCUCAUUUGUGACUUUUAAUGAUUUAAAACAUGUUUCAGGUAUCUUUAUGUUCGGUGGGGCAUUGAUUUGGCAAAUAUGGUGGUUUUUGUUGGAGAAUCUGGGGACACAGAUUAUGAAGGAUUGCUUGGUGGGCUACACAAGAGUGUAAUAUUAAGGGGAGUUUGUAGUAGUGCAAGUAACCAACUCCAUGCCAACAGAAACUACCCUCUCACAGAUGUUAUAGCGUCAGACAGCCCCAAUAUUGUUCACACAGCUGAAGAAUGCACCAAGUCUGAUAUCCGGGGUUCCUUGCAGCAAUUAGCAUGUGUCAAGGGCUAGAUAGUCCCACACUUACCCUUCAUCAUUCAAAUUUGUUCUAGACCUUGUCAAUGUUGCUUUUAUCAUAAGGAGUACCCGGUUGCUUCCAUGCCAAGCAUCUCAUAAUUAUGGCAUUCUCAUCAUUUUUCGAUCCUCAAGAAGCUUGCUUGUGAGUAUUUCGUGUAGAUUCAAACCCCAUUUUACUUUCUACUUUUUCCAAUUUGUUUAUUCCCAUAUUGAGUCCAUCCUUGAGUGCUUUAUUGGCCUGCAAGUUUCUAAUGCCUUCCUCCGUGACACUUGUGUCCAAUUUCUUUGGCUAUUGUACACAGUUGCAUGUACUUUUGGUAUGUUUCUAUCAGAUAAGUGUUACCAUAUAUAAAAAUAUUAUCUCUGCAUGUUUGCAAUACUACUACAUGAAAAUAAAGCCUUCUGUUUCAUUUUGUCCCUUUCUGUUCUCGUUGGGCUGCUU